Molecule: small nucleolar RNA, 184 nt
Filed under: Dasypus novemcinctus (nine-banded armadillo)
Lineage: Eukaryota; Metazoa; Chordata; Mammalia; Cingulata; Dasypodidae
Description: Small nucleolar RNA SNORA73 family (ENSDNOG00000034342.1)
Source: RNAcentral
CACGAGGACACAGCAGAAGGCCCCGCUCCCCAGGCUCUGUCCAGGUGGCGCAGGGGAGCACAGGGCGCUGCCCAGCGACCAACAGUCCAUUCCACACGUGCUAUGAGGCCGGGCCCAAGCCUGUACCUGCACACCCCACAGCUUCUCAGAGUCCCACAGACAACGAGGGACAGCCCAAGCAGAG